UUUUGGACAAUGGGCGAAAGCCUGAUCCAGCCAUUCCGCGUGAGUGAAGAAGGCCUUCGGGUUGUAAAGCUCUUUCGCACCCGAAGAAACGAUGCAGUCGAAUAAACUGUGUUAAUGACGGUACCUUGAUAAGAAGCACCGGCUAACUACGUGCCAGCAGCCGCGGUAAUACGUAGGGUGCAAGCGUUAAUCGGAAUUACUGGGCGUAAAGCGUGCGCAGGCGGUUUUGUAAGUCAGAUGUGAAAUCCCCGAGCUCAACUUGGGAACUGCGUUUGAAACUACAAGACUAGAAUAUGUCAGAGGGGGGUAGAAUUCCACGUGUAGCAGUGAAAUGCGUAGAGAUGGAAGGAAUACCAAUGGCGAAGGCAGCCCCCUGGGAUAAUAUUGACGCUCAUGCACGAAA
RNAcentral lists this ribosomal RNA (403 nucleotides) under uncultured bacterium. RNAcentral describes it as "bacterial SSU rRNA". It matches the Rfam family "Bacterial small subunit ribosomal RNA", at positions 362 to 758 of the family's 1533-position model. The record is from RNAcentral.